Molecule: RNA transcript, 6719 nt
Organism: Brassica rapa (field mustard)
Lineage: Eukaryota; Viridiplantae; Streptophyta; Magnoliopsida; Brassicales; Brassicaceae
Gene name: ABSCISIC ACID-INSENSITIVE 5-like protein 7
Source: RefSeq, a predicted model, not a curated record
AACAAAAAGAAUUAAAAAAAAGAGAAAGAAAUAUAAAGAAAUGAAAAGAAAAAAAAUAAAAAUAAUUAAAAAUAGUUAAGACAAAAGAAAAUCUUUCAACCUUAAAAUGGCUGAUCGUGUCGAGACGGCAGCAGCACACUUGUCGUCCUUCCCAGAAGCUUCUCCGGUGUUUUCGCAGUCGCAAAUCUAAACCGUUAACUAGAUAGAAGAAUCAUUGAAGAAGAACUAGUGAACACAAGGAAUAUGGGAACUCACAUCAAUUUCAACAGCUUAGGAGGUGGUGGAAGUUACCAGAUGAAGCCAACAGAUAGUCCCAAUCCCCUGGCGAGACAGUCCUCUGUUUACUCCCUAACCUUUGAUGAGCUUCAGAGCACAUUCGGUGGACCGGGGAAAGAUUUAGGGUCUAUGAACAUGGAUGAGCUCCUGAAAAGCAUAUGGACUGCUGAAGAAGCUCAGGCCAUGACUUCUUCAGCUGCUACAGCGGUGGCGCAACAUGGUGGUGGGAAUCUCCAGAGGCAAGGCUCGUUGACAUUGCCUAGAACGAUUAGUCAGAAGACUGUUGAUGAGGUCUGGAAAUUUCUGAUCACCAAGGAUGGUGAAAUGGGAGGUAGCAGCAAUGGUGAGUCUAAUGCACAACAGACUUUAGGGGAGAUGAAGAUUGAGGACUUUCUGUUUCGCGCUGGAGUUGUAAGAGAAGAUAACAACGAGUUUUAUGGUAACAACGGUGCUGCUGAAGGGCUAGGCUUUGGAUUUGGUCAGCUAAAUCAAAACAACAUAUCAUUCAAUGGCACUAAUGAUUCCAUGAUCUUGAAUCAGCCACAACAACAGUCACAUCCACAGCAGCAGCAUCAGCACCAGAGGCUGCCUCAAACCAUUUUUCCUAAACAAGGAAACGUAGAAUUUACUGCGCAUGUGGGUAUGGUCAACAAUUAUAAUGGAUUAGGUAGUUUCAGAGGAGAAGGGGUUAAAAUUGGAGCGACAUCACCAGGGACAAGCAGCGGGGAGAAUAAUUCCUUCUCACCAGUUCCAUAUGUGCUUAACCGAGGAAGAAGAAGCCAUACGGGUGUAGAGAAGGUUAUCGAGAGGAGGCAAAGGAGGAAGAUCAAGAACAGGGAAUCAGCUGCUAGAUCUAGAGCUCGGAAGCAAGCUUAUACCUUGGAACUGGAAGCCGAAAUUGAAAAGCUCAAGAAAGUGAAUCAAGAAUUGCAGAGAAAACAGGCUGAAAUGAUGGAGAUGCAGAAGAAUGAGGUGAAUGAACCGAGGGGCAGCAAGAGGCAGUGCCUGAGAAGGACACUAACCGGUCCUUGGUAAAAUCAGAAUGUAACAACAUGUACCGAGCAUACCAGACACCGGUUUGCAUGGGAAUAAUGUAAUAGGAGAUAGUGGUGCUACCUGUACAGGAGAUUAAGAGAAAUUUUAUUAAGUGAGAAUCUCAGGUUAUACAGUAGAAGUAUCAUAUUAUGUUUUGUGCCCUGGCCUUCAUUAGUCUAGCUAUAUACUCUGUUUUGUGCUUUCUAGUUUUAUGGAGUUUUCUACAAGCGUUUUUUAUAUCUUCACCACCUAUUAGAAAUUUGCUUUUCUCCUGAGAUUUACAGUUAAAUCUUGAUUCUAUUAGAAAACAUAUUAUUAUCUUCCAAAAUUGCAAUUAGAAAACAGUUUGAUGACACGAAGUGCCAAAAUUCUAGAAGUGAAUCGAAAAGAGAGACCAUUUGGUGGAGAGCCAGUCUCAACCAGGAAACUCCGGCUACAAUGUGACCUUGAGGAAGAAGCCAAGUCACCUCUCGGUGACCAGCCUUUAUCCUCCUCAACAGCCGUUGCAAGCUCAAGAUGCAAUGGAUCACAGCUUUCACUUAACAGCCUCAGGACUUGCUUGAUUGAUGGCCUAGCCACGCCUUCUUUUUCUGUGCACCACCUCUGAGCUGUUCUCCAUCUAUGCAGUCUUUGAUUCUUGAAUCCACCAGAUGUAUGCGUCUUGAUUCUGAUGCUAGUAAAGGCUGAGACAACUCUGAGUAGAUAUCAAGAAAAUCAGACAAAGAAACAAACCAUAGUAAGAACUUAGAAGACUGUGUCAUGUGUAUAGAUAGAGCAACGCUAAGCUCAGCCACAUUAAAGACGUAGCUAGCAAGUUCGAGGGCAGCUGAAUUAUCAACCUGACUAGCUAAUGCAGCGUAGCUUGCAUCUCCACUAGACUACGUAUGUAGGCAAUACCAGAAUUCAAGCAACUCUUGCAUUGAUCUCCCUGUGUAAGAGAGAGUUUCUAGAAACAUCUCCAAACCACAUUAGCUCCAUGGUUCUAGAGAUGGAAGUGAUGCAGGUAUGAGUCAAGUCUGUGCGACUCCAAGAUCUGUUAAAAGCUCACUAAGUUGCUUAAAACACCCAUAGAAGCAAUGAUUAAACAUAAUGAUUGCAUUUGUUUGUUGUUUAGUGGUUUUUCUACUCUUUCAAGUGGCUAUCUCUUCACAUAGUUUCGUUUUCACAGAUUUCAUAUCAUCAUAUACACCAAUAGUUUUGCUAAUUAGAAAGCAUAGUUUUAUAAUCAAAGAAAACAACUUUUCCAUGAAACAAUAAUCCAAUAACUAUGGUGUGAGGAAUAUCCUCUAUUUCAAAUAAAAUGUCAUCCUACCACUUCCUUUUGUCUCAAAAGAAUAUCAUCUUAAAUUUAUAAUACAAUCUAUCUAAUUAAAUUAAAAUAUUAAUUGAAAAGUGAAUUGAUCUUUAUCAUAUAAAUAAUUCUGUUUAUCUUAAAUACAAUUAGCUAAAUAAAUAUAAUUAUUAAGACCAUAAAAAAAUGUUUCAAUCGUUUUAAAACUUAUGUAAAAAUAUCAAAAUGAAAUUUUUUAUAAAACGGAUGGAGUAUAUAGUAUUAUACUUUUGGAUUAAACACUAAAUUAUGAACGUACGAGCAUCAAAUAUUUUAUGAAAUCCAAACAUAUGAGCCAUAUAAUUUAUGAGAAUGUAUAAACUAUUAAUAAUUCUGAAAAGUUAUUUUAGUUAUAUAUCAUUAUUAUUAACAAACAAAAAAAAGUUUAAGUUUUUUUUUAAAAAAAAAUUUAUAUAAAAAAUAAAAAUUUUAAUUUUUUUAUAAAUUAAAAGAUAUCAUUAUUAAUUUAGAAUUCUCUUGAAAACAUAAAAAAGCAAAAACAUUAUUUAAAAAAAGUUGGAGACACUAAAAACACAUUUUAUGAUAUCAACUACAUUUCUUUCACAAAGGUUUGCAAAUAUCUGUGUAUCUAUAACAUUCUUUUGAGUGCAAUCAUAAGUGGUAGAACUUUUUUUUUUCUGAGGAAAAAUUAUACCACUUCUAAAUUUUACUAUAUUGUAUAUUUCAAAAUCUUGUCUCAGAAUAUGAUAACCAUCAAAUUACAGAUACCGAUAUCCAGUAUAACCUCGUUAAAUUAAUAUUCUAUAAAUUAAUAUACACUAAAAAUCUCUAUAAAAUAAUAUAAUUUUAUAGUCUCAAAUUAAGUUUUUGUUCAAUUAGUAUAUCGAUAAAUUAUUAUCUCUAUAAAUUAAUUAAAAAAUUAUAGUUUUUGUAUAGUUUCAACAUUAUUAAUUUAUAGAGGUUUCAUUGUAUAUAUAUCGGUAUCUAUAAUUUGAUGGUUAUCAUAUUCAAUAACAAGAUUUUGAAAUAUACAAUAUAUUCAAUAUCUAUAUAUAUAUAUAUUUAUAUCUAUAUAUAUUUUUAGAUUAAAUAUUUGUUCCAUAUAAUUAUAUACUAAAAUUAAAAAUAUUUAUUAACUAUUUAACGGAUUAUAUUACUCACACUAAGUCAUAUUCAACAAAACAUGUGUGGUAGAAAAUGUUAUCCUCCAUAUUUGUUUAGCGCGUGUUUUCUACGCGGUCCAAAAUAUAUAUUUGAUUCCAAUUAUGAAAAAUUUGUUCUUAGUUACUCAAAUAGGGAGACUGAUUUUACUAUAUAUCACACUAAACCCUUGGUUGGUAACCAUAAAUCACAUUUCAUCUUCUCAGUAUCUACCAUCUUCACUGCUUAAGCAUGCCUCCUCCUCCUGUUGCUGUUUACAGAUCGGAUGAUUUCUUAGCCCGUGUUGCUUUUUACCAGAGAUUUCAUGUAGCUGCUGCUUUGACUGAAGCACUUGAAAACCGAACUCCCAGUGAACAACGAACUUUGAUUGGUGAGACGCUCUACCCUUUGGUGGAACUACUCCAGCCAUUGUUUGCACCAAAAAUCACAGGAAUGCUACUUGAACUACCCCGACCCCAAAUCUUUCGGUGCAUAGAAUCACCAGAAGUCCUCAAAGCGAAGGUUAAUGAGGCAAUUGAUGUUUUAGUGGACUGGUAUCCCCAACAGAUGAAGCUAAACGGGCAAGAAGCUAAGGAGUUUCGAGCAGCCAAGCUCUUAUCUAAGCUUUGAUGUGAUUUUGCUUGGUUUAAUUAUGUUUGAUGUUGCAUUUUGAUUCUGAAUAAAAAACUUAAGACUCUAUAAUUAUUGGUAAUGUACUCAAUGUUCUAAUGAAAAUCUGUUAAAAACAUCUAUUUUGUUUUGAUGUCUAAAAAUAAUAAUAUGGGAUUGAUUAUCUACGCCAAACCAACCAUAAACACAAAACAAGACCAACCAUAUAAACAAAUGCAAAGGCUAAAAUAAGUAACCAACCAUAUUAAAUUCUAUUUGUGAAAAUAUAUAUUCAAUUCUAGUUGUGAAAAAUUUGUUCUUGAUUACUUAAAUAGGCAAACAGUUUUUUUUAUAUAGCAGACUAACCAUUGUUCGGUAAUCCUACUCACAUUUUGUUUUCUCAAUUUUCUACCGUCUUCAUUGUUUAAAUCAUGUCUCCUCCUAUUUCUAUAUACAGUAUUCAUGAUCCGUUGUCCCGUGCUGCUUUUACCCGAAGAUUUUCCGUAGCUGUUUUGAAUGAAGCACUUGAAAACCGAACUCCCAGUGAACAACGAAUUGUAAACUGAAUUUUUUAAUAUGGUGACUAUUUUGGAAAUACUUACUUUAAUUUCCCUUUUUGUAGUUAAUUGGUGAGACUCUGUACCCUUUGGUGGAAUUAGUUGAGCCAAAUUUUACAGCAAAAAUCACAGGAAUGCUUCUUGAGCUAGACCGAACCCAAAUCUUUAAGUUGAUAGAAUCACCAGAAGCCUUCAAAGAGAAGGUUUACGAAGCAAUUUAUGUUUUAAUUAGGAAAGUGGUUUCCCCAACAAAUGAAGCUAGACGAACAAGAAGCUAAGGAGUUCCGAGAAGCCAUGCUCUUGUCUAAUUAUUGAUUUCAUUUUGUGGUUUUAUUUAUGUUUUGUGUUGCAUUUUGCAUUUUGAUUCCUCAUUUUAUUCCAAAUAAAAACUGAAGAUUCUAUCAUCAUUGUUAAAGUACUCAAUGUUCUAAUGAAAUUUUGUCAAAAGGAAAACUUCGUUUUGGUUUGUCCGAAAAUAAUAAUAUGGGAUCAUCUAUGCCAAACAAACCAUAAACACAAACACAAGAGAUUAUCUAUAAGAAAACAUAUGCUAAACCAACCAUAAAACCAAAAAUAAAGAUUACCUAUAAAAUACUCGCCACAAAGAUAUCAAUUGUGUAUGAAAUAUACAUUUGCUAUAAGGUCUGAUCCCCUAUAUAUUAAAGGAGAAGCAUUUUUAAGGCUUUCCUUAAUUAUCUCUUAGUUGUUUUUUUAAGGAUGCAUGAGAAGGCUCUAUUCUCUUUUUUGCUUACGAGUCGCGCUCACAUCGUUUCUCACAAAAUCAUUUAAUGUGAAACCAUUAAAUGUUUCCUUUUUUGAUGAUUUUUUUUGCAAACUCUUUUUUCAUGUCCUUGGGCAGUCGACGUUCCAUGUCCUUGAUACAAGGCGCAACGAUGGGUAUCAGAAGCAGAGAAGAAGACGAUAUGAGGGUGAUCGACGUUCUUUACUAAGAUUAUAAAGAAAGAGAUUUUGUAAAGCAAGCGCAUCGACGAUCUUCUAUUUCAGAAAGAGAAAACAUCAAAGAAUCCCCAUCGAAAAGAAAAAAAAGAGAAGAAAUGGAAGGCUUGAUUCCAUUUUUGUACAAAGCCAUGGUCAUGUAUAAAAGAGAAGGAAGCUUUUCGUCAGUUUUGCUCAGCGAUCAUCAUUCUCAUCAACUUCCGGUUACUACAGGAGACUUCCUGUAGUACUCCUCCGGUAUAUUUCGAACAUCAGUCCUCAGGCAAUUUGGGACCGACCGUCUUGGAUUUCUUAAAACGACGCCUUCUUCACCAUCUCGCUUGCCCACUAGGAACAUCACGAAACGUACGUAAGGAGUGUUCUUGAAAAUACUAUUUACAUAAAGAGAUACAAAUCUUUCUUGACGUGUCCUCUUAUCCUAAGGGACGUUCAAAUACGUUCUACCCAGAUUUUCCAAUUGUUCUAAAGACUCAGAGGGUUUUGUUCUGAUAGCUGGUAGUUCUGUGCAUGGCUCUAAGUCUAAUCUGAAGACAGCUGCUAAACGUGAAGGAUCCCAUAUCGAAAGUUUAGAGGCAGCUAUCUACAGGGGCACUGUUAACGAACAUCGACAUUCGGAUUCGAUUAAGAAAGUGAAGACUGAAAAUAGUGGCUGAAGAAUUAUUAGAAACCUGUCUACAAUGAAGAUAGGCUUUUUUCUUUUAUUGUUAUAAGUAUUUUAAUUGUUUUAAUCUUCAUAUUAUGCUUGGUUUUUGGGUUCUGUUUAACAAUUUUGGAAGUCUGAAGUGUUUUAUUUUUUAACAUUUUUACGUACUCUAAGCAUAUGUUGGUCGUUUUUAAUAUAAACCCUCUUAUCA